Molecule: RNA transcript, 4815 nt
Organism: Cimex lectularius (bed bug)
Lineage: Eukaryota; Metazoa; Arthropoda; Insecta; Hemiptera; Cimicidae
Gene: Ack
Gene name: activated CDC42 kinase 1
Exons: 17
Source: RefSeq, a predicted model, not a curated record
AGUUUUAAUUGACCGCCUCCCUCCUCGCCAGCCGUUGUUUGUCUUAGACUGAUCGAAAGACAAAACCUACUGUUUACAAACGGGUAGCGACUUUCUGUGCCAAUUUUCUAGAAACGGGUGCCGUGGACGUUUUUUUAAAAAUAAAAUUAUACAAUCGAAAGGCAAAAGUUUAUUUUUUAGACCGUGAUGAGUGAAUUGAAUCUGCGUUCCGAUCUACUUUCACCGACACGUUCCGAAAACCCUUUCUGAGGAUUGAACACUCGUGACAAAGUGAGAGGUCAGUGAGUCUGUUCACUCGGAGUAAGGUUAAAAUACUUAAAACUUAAAAAGCCAGUCGGACGGCCAAAGCCAGACGGGCUGAUUGUGACUGCGAGUGUUUCUGUGACCGACCUAUACUGGAUACGACAAAACGCCUGCAUGUCUUCCAGUUCUUAACAAGCACUCGAAUAUUUUCCUUUUUUAAAAACAACAACCGAAAUGUCAGCUUAGUUUCUCCAAAGAAUUUAAAUAAGGUAAAAUGGGGGACGAUGGAAUCGACUGGCUGUAUGAGCUCCUUGAGGCGACGCAACUGGAACAGUUCCUCUCGAGAAUUCGAGAUGACCUUCAGAUUACCCGGCUAUCCCAUUUUGAUUAUGUCCAACCUGAGGAUCUUGAAAAGAUUGGGAUGGGACGGCCUGGUGCUCGGCGACUCCUCGAAGCGGCAAAGAAAAGGAGGGGAAGCCAGUGGCGGAAGAAGUUGAACAGGUUAAUCCCAAGUACAAAUCAGACGUCUAAAGGCACCUCGGGAAAAAGGCCUGUUGAGGCCGCUGAACCGUCUGGUCUCACAUGUCUAAUCCAGGAAAAAAACAUCAGCCUAGGCAAGAAACUUGGCGAUGGGACUUUCGGAGUCGUACACCACGGUGAAUGGACAACUCCUUCUGGCAGGACGAAGGCAGUUGCAGUUAAAGUCCUCAAAAAAGAUGCACUUGCGCAGCCAGGACUGUUUGAAGAUUUUAUCCGGGAAGUACAAGCCAUGCACUUAUUAGACCAUCCUCAACUAAUAAGACUUUUUGGCAUUGUUUUGAGUAAACCUUUAAUGAUGAUCACUGAACUCGCUCCUUUAGGAGCGCUUCUAGACUAUAUAAGAAAGCAAGUCCAUGAAAUUUCAGUGUCUAGACUGUGGGACUAUGCUACUCAAGUAGCCAAAGGCAUGGCAUAUCUAGAAUCAAAACGCUACUUACAUAGAGAUUUAGCAUGUAGAAAUAUAUUAUUAGCUUCUGUAGAUCAGGUGAAAAUUGGAGAUUUUGGCCUUGUCAGAGUUAUUCCAGAAGAGGCCGAUUGUUAUGUCAUGACAGAACAUGCCAAAGUGCCUUUUCCUUGGUGUGCCCCUGAAUCUUUGAAAAGGCGGCAGUUUUCUCACAAGUCUGAUGUUUGGAUGUGGGGCGUUUCUGUCUGGGAAAUGUUCACCUUUGGUGAAGAACCUUGGAUAGGUCUCAAUGGGACGGAGAUACUUAUUAAAAUUGAUAAAGAAGGAGAAAGGCUGGCAAAACCUGAAGCUUGCCCUUCGUGCCUUUACACAAUGCUUCUUGAGUGUUGGGAUAAAGAACCCGUGAAUAGACCAAGUUUUUCUGGAAUAUUUUCUUUCAUGAUUUCUGAAACACCACCAGUAUUAAAAAGCAGUUCGGAUUGGGCGCCACCUGGUCCAGGAACCAACUGCCCCGGCGAAAUGCUCCAAGUUUCUGCCGGUGAUAGUCUAGUCGUAAUAGAAGCCUUUCCAGAAAUGUACUGGUGGAAAGUACAGUCACAGUUGUCUUUCAAAGUCGGAUAUGUGCCAAGAUCUAUUUUAGAUGGUGGGAAAAUAGCCAGUGGGGACAUCAGUUUGCCGCUUGACAAUUCUUUCAUCCAUACCGGCCACGGAUCGACGGGUGGCAAAACGUGGGGUUCACCUGCUUACAUAGAUCCUGUUUACCUUAACAAUCCAAUGGCGCCACCGGACCUUAUGGGCUAUCCUAAGAAAAAGAGUGGAACAAAAGUCAAACACACUUCAAGUUUAAACCUCCAGCCACAGAAACAGUUUUCAUACAGAAAACUGAAAGCGGAGAAUCAGUUGAGAAGUCAGAGUGACAAAAGAGAGAGAAAAGAUUUGAAAAUGUUGCCUGUUAGGCCGCCGCAGCCCGUUUUUGCACAGGCGAACCAAGAACCACUCAUCGACCUGGGUGAGUCGCUGGACGAGCCGAACCAUCAGCCCCUUAAUCAUCGCCAAAGUUUGAUCGAUGCUCCCAUCGAUCUUCUAGUUCCUGAGGGAAUGUCUUUAUUAGACAUGCCAAUUGACUCAGUUGAUGUUCUAUUUGAAGUCACACAGAACAGUUGGGAUACACAGCAAGAGAGGGCAGAAUCACCUGACCCAUUUGAUACGUCCAGGGUCUUCACAGGUGCAUCUCAGCAGGCCCAGUCAGCCCAGCCUACCAGCUCCUUCAUCGCAGAACUGGAAACAAGGAUAGGAGUUAUGCAUAAUCUCCCCCCGAAACUGGAUCCACCGCCUGGAUCGGUUCGCAACCGUUGGGCACAGAAAGACAGUAAUGUUAAAGUUGAAAGAGAAAGUUCAUUGCCUUAUGGGAGCCUUGAAACAAACAUUUACACCAAAAACUUCCCUGAGUGUAACGGUGACAUACAACCGUCUUUGCACCAUUACAACAGUUUUGAGAAUGUCAGUCUACCCCCAUUACCACCAGAAGUGCCAGAGAGUGCCCAGCCACGUCAACCUUAUUAUUCACAGAUACCUGAGUAUGCCAAGUUGCUAAUCCCUUCGCAACCUCCUGUCCAAGAAUCCCAGGGGACUUACGCAAAUAUCAUCGAAUCGGAGCUCAAUGAAAAGCUGAGCCAGAUCUGGCUAAGCUCUGGGAGCCUUUCUGAACAAUCCAAGGUGCAACUUCAUAACCAGGUUAUAGCCGAUAUCAAAAAGAAAGCCCAAGGAAGGAACCUGUACGACCCAGUUGAGGCCAAUUACCAAAGAGUCAUUUAUCAAACUCAACAGCCACAGUAUGAACAGUUAGUCAGUGACUUGAUGUCUUUAGUCGAAGGAGCUACGUAUGAAGAGUGUUACAAUGCUUUGGCUAACACUUCCGGAAGUAUCUACGAUGCACUAAAGUUUUUGAAAGUGGAGCGAUUGUUAAGGCUGGGUUUGGCAUCGAGGCAGCAGUGUGAAAAGGAGCUUGAAAAAUGUCAGUGGGAUGUCAUCGUUGCCGCUUCCCAACUUCUCGACAACACCAGAAGUUAAGCUUGGUUAAUUAUUAGUUCCAGUUUUUUGUUUUUGGUUUUUUGAAAUAAUUUAUAUAAGUAUAGUUUUAUUGCUAAAUUUUCUAGGUGCAAUUUUAAGUAUUAUACAAAUCGUAAAUGUACCUUGAUCAAAGUGUCCCUUUCUUUGUCAUGAAUACUCGGCUAGUUAUAUCGAAACGUUUAUCUUAUAUUUUUGUAAAAACGGCUGUUGUUAGAUGUUAGGCAACAUUUUUAAUGAAUUUAUCGAUUGUCAAUCUUUCUUCCAACAAAAAAUGAAAAAAAGACUGAAAUAAUGAACGGUUGAUAUGGAAAAUGGUUUUCCUCAAAAGUUGCCUUAUAUUGAAAUAUUUUUAAGUUUCUUUACUGUACAUGAGGUAAAUGUUAACGCACUAAAUUGACAUGACAAAAGCUUUAAAAUAUAGUUACAUAUGUAUAAAAGUUAUUUAAAAAAAGUUUAAUAUAAAAUGCAAAUUAAACUUAUUUUGAAACAAAUGUAAUACGAUAAAAAUAUAUUUAUAAAUAAUUACCAUGCGGAUGAGACUUGAUAUCAAAAUAAAAAUUGUUAUUAUUAAUGUUUAUUUCAUAUUUUUUAUCCCAUAUCAAGAAAGGUUUGAAUUGGUUUUAGUUACCAAAGAGGAUUAAAAUGCGAUUGGUAAUACUUUAAACAGUAUUUGUAUUUACAAAUGAAAAUUCUUUCUUAACACAAAUCUUCCAGUCACAGUUACCCAGUCUUUCCAAUUAUUAUUAUCAAUCUGGUAAACUAUUGAUAUAACCUAUUGUUAAUUGUUGUAUUUAGUUAGGGUUAAUAAGACAAAAAAAUCACUGUUAUGUACAGGAAAGUGCACUGUUUUUUUGUUUUGUUAGAUAGGCUGGCGUUUCUGUUAUGUGUCAGUGUUUAGAACAGCCAAAAUCCUUAUGUCCAAAAUAUGUUUUUUAAGUUCUAUUUUGUUUAAUAAAUCUUGUAAUUUAAAAUUAAGUAUGAUUUGUGAUAUAAAUACAAAAGGAGAUAUAGUGAUGCAACCUCUGGACUAUUAGUUACUAGGCAAAAUGUCAUCAGUUUGGAUUGAGUGAUAUUGCUUUUAAAAAAAAAUUUAAUAAAUUGUUCACUAAUAAUAUAAUGAAUACAUUCACAAUGGAUAGGAACACCCUCAUCAUACAUUCAUACCCAUACAGUUACCUUUUGCAACAUUAGCUGUUGUAUUUGGUUAAUUUUGAUGACCACUCACAGGGAUGGCUACAGACGUGGAUCACUUAUUUCAAUCCAUUUUUUUGGUGAUUUCCAGGGAAUGGAAAUUUUAUCAGGCCUAAGAGCUGAGAAAAAGAUUUAAAGUAAAUUUUGUAAAAUAUUUUCUCCUGCUGUUGCGUCCGUGUAUUUCAAGGUUAUCAUUCAUAUAUCAGUUCUUUUAUGUAGAACAGAACAUAAAGCGAUUAAAUACGUAAAAAGUUACAAAAAACAAAUGGCACUAGUGAAGUAGAAACAAAAAAAUCAGAUUCAUUUCAAGCAUCUUUUAAUACCCUUAUGUACAAAUUUUCAAUGGUAAUAAAAAGAAAUAGUCAUUU